GAUGAACGCUGGCGGCGUGCCUAAUACAUGCAAGUCGAGCGAACAGACGAGGAGCUUGCUCCUCUGACGUUAGCGGCGGACGGGUGAGUAACACGUGGAUAACCUACCUAUAAGACUGGGAUAACUUCGGGAAACCGGAGCUAAUACCGGAUAAUAUAUUGAACCGCAUGGUUCAAUAGUGAAAGACGGUUUUGCUGUCACUUAUAGAUGGAUCCGCGCCGCAUUAGCUAGUUGGUAAGGUAACGGCUUACCAAGGCAACGAUGCGUAGCCGACCUGAGAGGGUGAUCGGCCACACUGGAACGGAGACACGGUCCAGACUCCUACGGGAGGCAGCAGUAGGGAAUCUUCCGCAAUGGGCGAAAGCCUGACGGAGCAACGCCGCGUGAGUGAUGAAGGUCUUCGGAUCGUAAAACUCUGUUAUUAGGGAAGAACAAAUGUGUAAGUAACUAUGCACGUCUUGACGGUACCUAAUCAGAAAGCCACGGCUAUCUACGUG
This 497-nucleotide ribosomal RNA is filed under the name uncultured bacterium. RNAcentral's name for it is "partial 16S ribosomal RNA". It matches the Rfam family "Bacterial small subunit ribosomal RNA", at positions 28 to 507 of the family's 1533-position model. The record is from RNAcentral.